CCCGUUGAAAUUCAAAUUUUAACAUAGUUCGAACUUUGUAUUCGUGUUUAGUACUCGAUUUUAUUCGACGAUGCGUAUUCAACAAAGAUUUUUCCCACAGCUAAGACAUCUGUCGUAAUGAGUUGCAUCCUCACGUUCAUUUCCUUCCUUCCUUCCUCUCAUUUUUUAUCAACUGACUUUUUCGGAAGACGAUAUAUAUUCUUACAUGACAAUGCAACUUUUGUAACUUACCUUUUACAGCUUCCCGAUGCCCGUAAGAUGAGACGUCGAAUAAAAGAAUCCCAGGAUUAAAUUUGAGAUACGAGUUUUUUCUCAAGCAACAGUAUCAAUCUAAACGAUAACGAAAAUCAAAUUAGAAUUCGAUCAGAAUUUACGAUCUGACGAUUCGAUAUUCGUUUGUAUCUUAUGUAUUCGAGUAUAUAUAUAUAUUAUGUUUAUGGUGUUUGUUUCCUUUGUUCUUUAUAUCCCCACCAUUACAGCCCCCACCAUUUUUUUACCGGUCUUGAAAUGUAAACUAGCAAAGAAUACAAAUGAGAAGAGUGAGACGAGUAUUUUAAAAAGCAUUCGAAAAAUCUUAUUUACCGUAAAGGCAAGUCCAAAGUCCAUUUAACCACGUGGAUGAACUAACCCGAGAAAGAAAAAGAGAAAGAGAAAGGGAAAGAGAAAGAAGAAAAAGAAAGAAGGAACGAAUUUUAUUCGAGACAGACAGAAUAUUCUUUCCUUUUUAACGAUUCAACGGUAGAUGUUUUGUCCAAGAUACUUUUUCUAAGGGUCACCUGACAAAUAUUUAGCUUUAUCGUGGGCAUCAUAAGUUAUGGGAGACCGACAAAAGUUUCGUGUGAGGAAACGUUUCGAUUUGUUCAAGGCAUAUGGGCAGCUACGGUAGAUUAAAAGGAAAUAGUUAGAAAUCAGUGUAUGAAAUUAAUUACUAUGGUUUCAAGUUCAAAUAAGGAAGAUCCCCAUAAGCGUCAUAUGUCGUUCAAUUUUCCACGUUUUCCAUAGCACCGUCCAUAUGGGGAAUUUGUUCGACGUCUUCUUGACAUCAUAAAGCUGUUACGUGAUCAUCGUUUUAAGAAAUGUGUAACACAAUUUAUGAUAAUUUUAUUCUUGAAUAUUAAAAAGAUCCAGAUAAGCAAUAAGAUGACCGAUCACGACAGAUUAACUUCAAUAUUUCAAGCGAGUUAAAUGAUGAUUUAUUGAUCAAACAAAUCGAAUUAAUUUGUUUUUAUCAACAACGGAUGGAUUGAAAUUCAUUCAAAAUCUAAGGAUCGAAAUACGUUUGCGAAUACGCAAAUGAGGAUAUAUGUGCGUGUAUAUAUAUAUCGAUGAAUGGAAAAUACGCGACAGACAUCCACCAGUUAUACAUCCAACAGUUAGUGAGACAACUAGAAAGGUGACUAGAAAGAUGCGAGAUGUGAGAUCGACUGAAUGCGGUAGCAUCUGCCACUAUCGUUUUGGAGUUUGUGCUUCCCAGGCUCCCGAGAUGCACCUGGUCCUCCGUCUGGUUGCCGGUGCAUUUGCUUCUUCUCUUCUCUCUUUCUUCUUUCUUCCUUUCUUUAUCUCUUUCUUACUUUUCUUCGUUUGAUGCGGAUAUGUUCUCUCGUAAAUUUAAAUUCAGUGAAUAAAAACGAAUAUAAAUAGUAGAAAAAAGGGAGAAUAUCCUAAAUCUGUCGAAUAAAAAUAAACCCACGCAAGGCACAUCGUAGAUAGAUGUAUCAAUCGUUUAAAUUGAAAAAUCAAAUUUAUCGGUUGUAUUAGAUUUUCUUUUUUUUUUGUUUCUUUUUAUUGAAAAGUUAAAACAUUGUGGAAAUUAUUAUUCUUUGAAAGACUCGAAAUAAAAACUUAUUUAAUAGAUUGUAUAAAAUGAGAGAAGACGUAUUAUAGGGCUGUGGAACAUAUGUUAACCAAAUAUAAAAAAAUCUUUUUUUAAACAAAAAGAAAAAUCUUAUCCAACAACUGACUCAAUAUUUAUCUACCAAUUCCAAUAUUGUACAAAAUCAAUGUUGACAAUCUUCUAAACAAUUUUGAAAUAAAUUUUGAAACCUUUAAUAAAUAAAGGAAUUUAUUAAAAAUCAAUAAUUAAGACUGCGAGUAAUAAAAAUUGAAAGAUAAAAUCGUAUUCGUCGCCCCCACGGGUCGAUUAGGGGGUUGGUUUCGAUGCUCGUGCCGGGACCGAGAAUGUGGCAUUAGUAAAAACGCGAUAUUGUCUGACUCAACAGGUUGCCGAGACCCUAGAGGCCACCAACCACCCCCUGACAGCUACGGUGCGCCACCCCAUCGACCACCCCAUCAACCACCCUAUGCGCCGCCUACACUUUACUCUGUAUUAAAUAAACCUGACGAUGGGGUGAUUUCUCUUUUUUUCUUUUUUUCUCUUUUUCUCUCUCUUUCCUUUUCUGUUUUUCCCUUUUUGUCAAUUGUGAAAAGGGAAUCGGAACUCGUGUAAUCUAACUUAUCGGUCACCUAAUCGAGCGUUCCACCUUUAUCGUUUAUGAUGAAUUAUA
This is a long non-coding RNA of Polistes dominula (European paper wasp), 2504 nucleotides long. RefSeq lists it as uncharacterized. NCBI's taxonomy places the organism in Eukaryota, Metazoa, Arthropoda, Insecta, Hymenoptera, Vespidae. The record is from RefSeq and is a predicted model, not a curated record.